CCCUAAACCCUGUGCCUUCUCCCCCCUCUCACUUGCGCUCCCUACUUGAGGUUCCUAAACUUGCACCUGAGAGCUGCUGCUUCUGUUUUGGUUGGUGGUAGGUUUGGGUACGCGUCCUUGGAGAGGCAAAGGCAGCGGCUGCCGGUGUACAAGUACCGCAAGGCUAUCCUCUACCUUGUCGAGCGGCAUGCCACGACCAUCGUCGUCGGCGAGACCGGCAGCGGCAAGUCCACACAAAUCCCCCAAGUACGUGCUCCAGGCUUUUUUUUCACACCUCGAACGGACAGUGGGUGCCCAGAUCAUUUGAGAAUUGGUUGUGUGCUGGGCAUUUGGUCGAACAGUUGAUGUGCGUGUCAGAGUGUGCGUGUGCUGAUUGUUCAUGCUAUCCUACUAUGAGGAUCUUUAUGGCGGUAUGUAAGAUAAUUUGUGAACGGUCACACAACAGUACAUACCACCUAGAGGGUCUUUACGUGUGCACAUGUCUUACCGCCGUAUGCCACAGUAGUUUGGGCUCAAAUAUUUGUAUGAAGGUAGGCUGAAUUGAGAUGUAUCUUCGUAAUUAAUUUUGGAUUUUUUAUAUAUUAACUCCACAAUGAAGCCAUAAUACUUUGCUUGGUUGUACCUAUAUGCUACAAAAUUUUGAAUUUCAACCUGCAUAGUUGAAGGUUGAAUAGAAAGUUCAUUUUUUGUUGGUUAAUAUGCUAUUUUUCUAAUAUUGUAAAGAGACAAACGACCAAACGCUUAUGGCUAUUGCCUAAUAGCCCCUGAAAAGAGCAAGCACUACCUGAUAUCUCAUUAUCUUACUUGCAUAUGAUUUUUCCUUUCUUACCUCACUGUAUUUUGAACCAGUAUCUUAAGGAGGCCGGCUGGGCUGAGGGUGGUCGACUUAUAGGUUGCACCCAGCCAAGGCGAUUGGCUGUGCAGGUAUCAAAUGUUUUUAAUCUCAUUCAGCUGCACAUCAUUCUCUGGAUGCUAUUUAAAGUUAGGUCUCUCUAUUUCACUGUCUUAUAAGAGCAUGCACCAUAUUAUUCUUUUGGAUACGUCCCUAGCCAUGGCAUGCAACGGUGCGAGGCUCUUAGCUACUCAUCUUUGAGGCAAAUUUAUCUUUUUCUUCUGGAUGAUCUCUAGACUCUAGCACUAUCUACCUUUCUUUAUAGAGCAUACGGUCCACCCUAAAUUGGAACACACCAAAUCGUAACAAUACAGAACUAAGAAAUAGAGAUACAUAUCUUCAUCAUAAUAGGGUUAGGCAACUUCGUAAAGAUAAGCUUGGCUUUUCUUGACUAUCUUCAUCAUAGUGAUAAAUAACUUUGUAAAGAUACGCUUGGUCUUUCUUGGGCAUGAAGGUUUAUCCACCCUCUCCCCCUCCGUCCAUGCGUGCGUCCCAGGGUUGCAAUUUUAUGGUGCCAAAAAAUGUGUCCAUAAAAGGACUUAUGCUGGCAAAAUCGUGACCUUUGAGAACUACUCUAUGUAGCAAUGCAGCGUUGGAAAGCAUUCUUCUGACAACCUCUCGUGGUCCAGUAGUUAUAAGAAGUCAGCUUAUUCCAACCAUAUGUUUUACUGAGGAUGUCUGAGUAUUUUUUUACUGUUCUUAUAAACUCUUUCUUAAUUUUUAUGUUCCAUAAUUUAUUUUCUGUUAGACUACAUUUGCAGAUGUUUUCGUUUUUAUGAUCAUUUCUUUUUUCAACCCAUCUUGAUAAUGUGAACAGACGGUUGCAUCAAGAGUAGCUGAAGAAGUUGGUGUAAAACUUGGAGAAGAAGUAGGUUAUACAAUCCGAUUUGAGGAUCAAACAAACCCGGUAUGAUUAAGUUUUUCUCCUUUCACUGGUUUCUUUGUCUGAAUGCUCCAGCAUGAAACACAUUGUUUUCUAUCGGCUUUGUGCUCUCUUAAUCUAUUACUCUGCUUAUGACCUACUCGGUUUGACAGGGUAUGACCAUGAUCAAAUUUCUCACAGAUGGGGUACUGAUUAGAGAAAUGAUGGAAGAUCCUCUUUUGACCAAAUAUAGGUACCUUGCUAUGACCCUCAAUGUUAGAUAAUAAGCUUGAAGUCCAACUUGUCACAUGUCUCGUUGUCAUGAUUACUCAACCAUGUUCAAUCCAAUUGUAUAUCUUUAUCCUGGUUAUACAUUGGUGAUGAUAUUCUUAAUGGAGUGAGAACUCCUUUUCCAGUUGGACUGUUCUAUGCUGGUUUUAUUUUAUUCACAUAGCAAUCCAUGUUUUCUGUUGUAUUAGUGUAAUUAUGAUAGAUGAAGCUCAUGAAAGAUCCAUUUCAACCGACAUCUUGCUGGGACUCCUAAAAAAGGUUCGCGCUUUUGAAUAUGCAAGUUUGAUUUCUCUUGAACUCGGCUGUGGAUAAUGUUUUUGUUUCCUGCUUUGCAUGCUUCUUUAUAUCAUCUGGCCAGAUUCAACGCCGUCGACCAGAGUUGCGUCUUAUCAUCUCCUCGGCAACAAUUGAAGCAAGAUCCAUGUCAACCUUUUUCAGCAUUAGGUCAGUCCCUGUCUAGUAAGAACUAGUUUUGCAUCCUUCAUCUUUGCACUUGUUACUUUUUAUGCAACUGAAGCAAGUAAAUGCAGUACAGUGCAUCUACCAGGAAAUUCUCGAGAAAGUAAUUUUAGUCAUAAAGAUGGUCAAAGAACACAAUUGGCUACCAAAUAUAGUAAAACUUAUAUAUUCUCCACUCACGGGCCAUGGUUGCUAAUUGUUCCCAAUUCGUGGUUACCUUUGCAGUAUCCACGAAGUCGCUACGCGGUAUCAUCAAGAUGCAAUUGUUAACUCUGAUAAAUGCACUGUUGUCUUGUGCUUAAGCAUCAUAUACACUUCGAAUUGCGCUAGCAAGUUAGUGAGGGACUGAUCUCUUUUAUAUUCUUUCACCCACAGGCGGAAGAAUUCCUUGCCUGAGUCUGCUGAUGAUUUACCCAACCCAGAACCUGCUAUCCUUUCUGUUGAAGUAUGUUUUACUUGUAGCUGAAGUAUAGAUGUGGAAGGGUUCUCCUCAUUGAUGAAAGUGGAAUUUGAUUAUAAUUUGGUUCUGUAGGGUAGAGGGUACACAGUGGAAACUCAUUACGUGGAAGAACCUGUCUCAGACUACUUGCUGGCUGCUGUCAGUACUGUCCUUAUUAUUCAUGAAAAGGUUAGUUGUUUCAUGCUGUUUAACAAAGACAAGAUGUGAUCUACUCCCUCCGAUUAUUAUGCUUCUUAAGAUGUUUUUGAUAAUUUGGGAACUUCUGUUUGAUUUGCUUGGUCUGUGAAUUCAUUGUUUUGUGUCACUCAGCAGUUAUUGUUUACUUCUCUUAAAUGAUACUCCCUUUGAUCCAAAAUAAGUGUCUUGGAUUUAGUACAACUUUGUAUUAAAGUUGUACUAAAUCCAAGACACUUAUCAAAGUUGUACUAAAUCCAAGACACUUAUUUUGGAUCGGAGGGAGUACAAAUCGUAAGCAUAUUCAGGUUUUGGUACCACUGACUUAUAUGCAUGUGGUCAAUUGUUUGUCACCCUAUGGGUUUAGCACAAGUUAUGUGGGCAAUUAUAUGCUCAAUCUUGCAAGCAUUAAAGCUCAAACUAUACUUGAUUAGCUAAUGUGAAUAUGUCUGCCCACAAAAAUCAAAAUUUACAAUGUACACAUCAAAAUGAUAGCUGUUGAUUAAGAGACAAAAUCACAUAAUUAACUACAAUAGUUACAGAGGAACCAAGUUGACAAAAAAAACAUAUCUUAUUAUAUCACUUUUAAUUAAGAGAGAUUUGCAGACAAAUUUACCUUGCACAGCAAGCAUUGGUGUGCCUCUUAUCAAUAUUAGUUUAUAACAUCAGACAAAGUGGUUAAAGGAACACAAAGCUGAUAUGGCCAUAGUCCAUCAGAUAAACAGGCACUACCUUCUGUUUCUUUUGAUAAUGUUGUAUUCUCUGAGGUGAAUUUGGAGCUAUCAUCAUUCAUCUUUGUAGUAUUAUCGUAAAAAAAAAUACUCUUCCCAUUCAUUGAAUAUUCAAUAGCUUUCUUUCAUCUCCACUAUCAUGUAAUUUCUGCAGGAACCACCAGGGGAUAUUUUGGUGUUUUUAACAGGCCAGGAUGACAUAGACGCUGCUCUUAAGUUGCUAAAUGAUGAAAUUCAACACCUUCGAAAACACUAUUUUGGUAACUCUUUUCCACAUACUCCCUCCCUCCCAAAUUAAACAUCGUUUUAGUUCUAUCUCGGAUACCAAGGAGAUUUAUUCGCUGGCUGCACGACGUUUACCAACGAGUAAUAUCGGUAGGUGGAAGGCAAAAGGUCUCUUUGGUCGGCAUGCAGAGAUGUGAACGCUCCUGCAUGCAGGACUCUGAGCCACUGCAUGGCCACGCAUGCAGCCGAAAGGCCUUUUUCUUCACAGUCUUAAUUAGUGUUAAGGGCUGGCUGGCCUCGAUUGCCUAAUACGACAUUUUUUCUGGGAAAAAUAAAAAAAUCCUAAAACGACGUUUAAUUUGGGAAGGAGGGAUUAUAGAAUAGUUAACUAAAAAAUCAUGUUCAUGUUUACGAUAAAAUAGGUUCUUCAAAUGAUGUCUGGUCCUUGCAAACCCAUGUAUUGCCAAAUCUUUUACCUGCUUGCGGUAGUAUAUUUUGUUUUCUAAUGCAUUCAGAUUACUUUAUUGUCAGAUUUGGUGAUUCUGCCUUUAUAUUCUGGCCUUCCACGUGGAGACCAAGUAAGUAGUCCUCACUCCUAAUUCAUGUUAUAAUAAAUUAUGUUGUCAUUAGAUGCCAUUCCAUGUUGAUACUAUCUAGUGUUCAUUGGCUUUCUAGGAUCUAAUUUUUGCUCCUACUCCAAAAGGGAAAAGGAAAGUUGUGAUAUCAACCAACAUCGCUGAGACGUCAUUGACUCUGGAGGUACUGCAUGGCUAUUCUCACAAAAUACCAUGUUGACUGUAACUGAUUUCUCUCAAUAUUGUGUAGGGCGUGGUGUAUGUUGUUGAUAGUGGAUUUUCCAAGCAGAAGUGUUAUAACCCGGUACAUUCUAUUCAUUCUAUUUUAAUAUUUCAAACUGGCUAUCCUAGAUGUAGCUUAGCUUUACUUUUGUUUCUUUUUCUAAUGCUGAAAUUUGAAUGCCGACUGCUACAAUAAUCUUCAAUCUGUGGCUUCUCAGUGCUCAUUCACUUGCGUGUCCAUCAGAAAACUCUUGACUCGCCAAUCUAGUAACUAACCUCUAUCUGUAAGAGCCAAUCCAGACGAGUUACUUAAGGAACCCUCUCUUUUUUUUCUUAUUAAAAUAAAUAUAGUGGAUCUGUUAAUAUUUGGAAGUUAUUUGUGACUGACAUUCCUGAUGGCAAGUGAAACCGAGAUCAAAUUGUUUGGUGUAAUUUUUUUCGUGUAGUUGUUUGGUCUAGCCUUUCUUGUCGCAGCUUAGCUCUAUUUCUUUUGCAGAUUUCUGACAUCGAGAGUUUAGUUGUUGCACCAAUAUCCAAAGCAUCUGCAAGGCAAAGAGCAGGCAGAGCUGGAAGGGUACGACCCGGGAAGUGCUUUAGGUAUGUUGAGCAGUUUUGUUAUUGAGCUUGUUAUUGAGAGCCUCCUCUAUGGCAGUCCUUGAUUUAUCAUUGUUCACCUUGGUGUUAAAUAUUGUGCCAUUUGUUUGCAUCUCAGAAGCUAUAUCUCCUGCAGGCUUUAUACAGAGGAAUAUUACCUAAAUGAAAUGCAGGCAGAUGGAAUUCCAGAAAUGCAAAGGUCUAACCUCGUUUCCUGCAUAAUACAGGUAUCUUGGCUGGUCUGUUUCGUGAUUCUUUUAGUUAUACUGUAAAAGGAUAAGUAGAUAACACAUACUCUAACAGCUCAUAUAUUAUUUUUUCUAUUUAUUCCCCUAUGUACCUCAUUUAUCAUUGACUCCCGCUGCAAGCCAAUAAGUGCCCGCACUCAUUUACUUCUAAAUCAACUUGGUUGGCCAUACACUAGAAACGAGAGCUCAUCUUGGUUGAAGUGCAGAAAUUUACAUGAGUUGUUUUAUGGAAUGGAGGGAGUACUUGCCAUAAUCUGCAUUGUUAUUAUUAUAAAAGAUGGUAGGCAAGCUUGCAACCAGUCACCCUACUUUUCGGUGCUUAUGCGGUACACAUGCACUUUUGUCACUUUUGGCUUUGUAUGAAUAAAAUUGCAAAAGACAUACGCAUGGCAUAUCGUGUCAUGCUGCAGUAUAAAAUUGUCUUCAUGUAUAUAUCGAAUAUACAAUUACCAAAAUAAUGUGUUAGUAAAUUUAAAUCUUUAUUGUUACUAUCUGCAACAUUAAUCUAUGGAAGUCAUUGAAGACACACUUACUAAUAAAAAAUAUAUUAGUAUCUCAUGUUCAUCAGCACAUCAACUAAGCUAGACUGUUAGGGCUUGUCUUCACUUCUGUCUAAACAACAACGAUUAGAACCGAGCAUCCCUGGAUGUUUAACUUAUGAGUUAUGACAAAUGUGUCAGUUUCUUGCAUCAUGUAUAAUUUCCAUAGUUUGCAAUGCAAUUAUUUAUUCUUACACUUGGCUUGCUGAGUCAUGAAACCAGGAAAAUGCUUCAGUUGCCCACAAAAAUGUAAUCCAUAAGAGAUACUGUAGUUUAUCAGGCACAAUCUCUUUGAAAAGUGUGCACUGAAGCAUGUCCUCCACAUUGAAUAUGAUUGAUUUAAUUAAUUUCCUGAGACAUACAAUGGAAAGUGUUGAUAGGGUUUUUGCACAUAAUGUAAUAUUUAUGAGCAAUUGUAUACCAUUUAUUAAAUUAUGUUCUCGGAUGACAGUUAAAAGCACUAGGAAUAGACAACAUUUUGGGAUUUGAUUGGCCAGCUUCUCCAUCACCCGAGGCAAUGAUUCGGGCUCUCGAAAUUCUGUUUUCACUUGGAAUCCUUGAUGAAGAUGCCAAACUAACAGUUCCCAUUGGUUUUCAAGUUGCUGAGAUGCCUCUGGUAUGUGUAUCUUAAUUUAUUUAUUUUCUGUUGCGUACAUAUUCUUGUUUUUUCCCCAACCUUUUACGGAAACGGAUCCGGGUGUAAAUGAUGUUUGCUACAUGCACAGACUACCGAGGCGUUCUGUCAUGACUAGUUGACUACUGAGUCAAAUGAUUUGCUCCUGAACUUGCCACGUGCAAGUUAGUCAUUUUCGCUAGCCAGUCUCAGUUCUGGGCUGUUCAUCUAUGAAAAUUUAAAUUAAUGGUAUACUUCUAGGAAAAACAUUGUGCAAGCCAUAGAAAUCUAGGUGAAAUGCUCAAAAUCUGACUAAAUUUUGCUGGGAGUUGGAGCUUUAGAGUGACCGAGCCGGUGACUGCCGGUUCCCAGCAGGAAAUUGCUAGUUAUGUCGGUAGCUUCUGACUGUGGACCAGGAAUUUGGACUUAUGGUUAUCAAAAUCAUGUAGUGAGUACCUAGAUUGCUGUUAGAUCUCAGUCUACAAGUAUAUACGAUGAAAGAUACUCAAAGUAAAAAAUAUAACAUGAUUAAGGUCAGUGUGACCUGAACGGAUCAAUAAGUUCAAUUGCACAGGACACUAUUUACUUAAGAAGAAAAAAGGCAUCCAUGCUUGUCGAAAUUACUAUUUUAAAAUGCUACAAGAAUACCUCUGAUAUUUUUUUUCUUUGUAGAUUGCUAGGUAAGGUUCAAAUAUUAAUUUACUAAUGUUAAUGUUCAAGAAUAUCGUCUGUACGUGUUUGCCUUGAAGACUUCUAGUUAUGGUUCAUAGUACGAUAUGGUUACAUAUUCUGAUGUAUCUGGUGCACCCAAAAUGAUUUUGACAUGCUUUACUUCGUGGCUAGCUUUAGGAACUCUAGUUCUUGCACCCUCUUGUUUGACGAGUUUGUCUAUAUUCUUACGAUGCUUUGUUGAUCUACUUAACCAUCAGGCAUAUAAUGUUACUCUGCUGAAUGUAGUUGAUGGUAACAUGUGAAAAUUAUGAUGCUUUUUUGGCCAUCUAAUUACUCUUUUAUGUCUAUUUACACUUGCACCAGCAUAUCCUAUUAUACUUGCACGAGCUAUGUACAUAUUUUUUUACUUACAUUUCUGGUGAAUAUCGCUCUCUUCUCAAGUUAAGAGGUUGUUAAAAAUACUUCUAUUUUUUUUGUAGGACCCCAUGAUUUCAAAAAUGAUCUUGUCAGCCAAUGAUUUUGGAUGCUCUGAUGAGAUAUUGACUAUAGCAGCAUUUCUAUCUGUUCAGGUUAGGGUUUUUAUAUCUCAUGCGUCCCUCUUUUUUUGUGCUAUAUUAAUUUAAUCUUUGAAUUGUUCUGACACCCGCCAAUUUAUAGUCUGUGUGGGUUUCUAUGAGGGGAGUGAAGAAGGAAUUUGAUGAGGCCAAACUUCGGUUUGCUGCUGCUGAGGUUCGUAAGAUCGCGUUGCUGCCAAAUUUGUUUGUUUACUUAGGAACCCUGAUGUUAGUUAGUUGUUAAUAUUGAAGCUCAUAUAGUGCUUAGUGCGGUCUAGUAUUAUAUGACAGACAUAGACCAUAUUACAGGAAUAUCAUGUCACUGAAAUCUUUGUCUUCAGUUCAGUUAGUUUAUGAUCAAAUUCUUAAAGUAGACACUAGACAAUUCAUGCUUUCAGAUUUGAGCAAAAUCCUUAAUGAAUAUUAUUCCGCUUAAACGCUUUCAUGCACUGAUCUUAUGGGCAUGCAAGCAGUAAGCUGGUACUGGUAACAGACCCUCUAGUUCAAGACCCAAUGACUUUUGGGUAACUUAGCAUUGGUGUUACUGAACAAAACAUGAAAAAUUAGAACAUGAAAAGGCUAUGACCAACACCAUCCCUAUUUAAGAGCCUCCUUCAUGUGUUUCUGCACAUGCAUGUGCAAAUUCUCAAAAGUGUGCUUGAUUAGAUUUGCUCUUGGUUGCUUCUUCAUCUUUGCUAAUGGUCUUGACUCUUUUAUAUAUACUGUAACACAGGGAGAUCAUGUAACGUUCCUGAAUAUCUACAAAGGAUUUCACCAGUCUGGAAAAUCUAGUCAGUGGUGUUACAAGAACUUUUUGAAUCACCAAGCAUUGGUCUGUGUUAUAUUGUACAAGGACAUAAUUAAUGUUUAUCAAGAAUACCUGCAUAUCCAAAGCAAUGUUCUCUUUUGUUGCACACCUCCUUUUUUUUAAUAAUGUUUUGUGCUCUUUGGUGCAGAAAAAGGUUAUUGAGAUCAGGGCGCAGCUUGUCAGGGUAAUGAAAAGGUUUGGCAUUCCGCUGAAAUCAUGCGACAGAGAUAUGCAGGUAGGAUGUUUCCAGUUUAAAUUAUUUUUUGUUUGAUACUUACGGCACAAGUUCUCUGUGCAUACUAGGGAUACUAGGGCUAAUGCCAUUGUGCAAAAAAGAAAAGGUUCUUAUCCCUAUGAUCCAUGUUAUCAUUUCUUAUAUCCAAUCCACCACAGACGGAUAAUAUAUAUACACUGCACAAUUUGGACAGUUAAGCAUCAGCACCACCCAGAUAGUUCAACUAAUUGCUUGUUUGUGGGGGGUUGGGCCUUUGGGGGGAUAUCUUGUGCAACAAUGAUUAGUCCAUAUUUAUUAUUUUAAAAUUAGUGUUUCCAGUGUCAGCUCUGUAUGAUAUUUUUCCCCAGUUCAUACUACAUAGUGAUGGAGGUGCUUAAAAUUAUCCUGCUUGAAUCAAUUAUUUCUGAUCUAUAAUGCCCAGAGAUUAUUGAACCUUUCAUGUGCUUAUUCUAGUUGCUCUGUUUCUCAACAUUUUGCAGGCAGUUAGGAAGGCCAUUAUUGCUGGUUCAUUUGCUAAUUCAUGUCAUCUGGAGGUAUUUUCUCAGAUAUUACAUUAUACGGCAGAUUUGAUGUUAUCAUACAUUACGUAGGCGAAAGCCUGUUUUCCCCCACAAAAGCCUGCUAUAUAUAAAUUGGUUGAUAGAAUUGUAUGAGCCCAGACUGGCCAAAAUAUCGGGAAUGAAAUUCCCCUGCAGCUAUCAUCCUAAGAUUAUUUUUGGUUCAGCUGGCCAGCACUCCUCACCCCACAAAAAAAGUCCUUUAAUUAUUAGACACUGGAAAGUGAUAGUUUAGGUUACAGAUGAGAAUACCAACAAGCACAUAAAGGGCAAAAGCCCUGGGAUGACCACACUUCCAAGUACUUAAAAACAAAACUUAACUUCUUUGUGGUUGACGUUCCCUUGCACAUUUUUUCAUUUAUCUUUAAGAAGCGCUGCUAUCCGCUGCAUGUAUGUAGUUGAUAUGUAAUUUGUCUGUCACCCUGCUGACUUUCUCCACUAUGCAGGAAUAUGGCCAGAAUGGAAUGUAUAAAACAAUUAGGACAUCGCAAGAAGUUUACAUCCAUCCAUCUUCCGUGCUCUUUAGGUGAGUUCCUUAAAAAUUUACUAAUAUUUGUUGGCUGUCUUUGUGGUAUAGUCCUUGUGCACUUCAUGACAUCAUUCUGAUAUUUCAGGGUUAAUCCAAAGUGGGUUGUCUACCAGUCUCUUGUUUCAACUGACAAGCACUAUAUGCGUAAUGUUAUCGCAAUUGAACCAUCGUGGCUUACCGAAGCUGCACCACAUUUUUAUCAAUACCGAACACCCAAUCCAGCUCCACACUAACUUUAUUGUAGUAACUUCUUACUCAACUGUGUUUACCCUCCAUUUAUUCAUUGUAACAAUGGUCUGAAGUUAAGUGCCCUGCUGCGCUGUGGGCAAGACUGAGGAAUUUCACAUUUUGUUGUGUUGGCUAUUAUACUUAAGGUUGGCUGGGGUUUCACCCUUUCUGUCAGUUCAUUAGUUCAGCUGGAAAGUAUAAAGAUCAGUGUAACCUGCUUUUAUUUUAAAUAUUAGUUGCUUUGAUGACAAUCAAUUGGGGCAAAGACAUUGAUUUGAUGUAUUUUUUAUAUGCGGAGAACUUCAUUUUCUAAGUGGCACGAUUUUGCCAAUGGAAAGGAACGAUCAUGUUUGUAUAUAAACUAAACUUAUGGUUAUUUUUUUUUCUGCCAUCUAUGCUGAAUAUUUGCUGAUAUGCGUCAUUGCAGUCUUACCAGGAGAUUCUUCAUCCUCUAUAGCAUGUCAUGGGCUCAUGGCACAGCGGGUAUCAGCUUUCUUAGCUUUCUUAACCGUUGAAUGCCUCUCAUUUUGUUACAAUCGUAGCUGCGUUUUUUCCUAACAUAUCUACUGUUGUCACCCGUUUUUCUGCCAAUAUGGUACCGCCAUUCAUUUUGUACGUACUGGUACUUGUCUUAUAAAAGGGUCUAACUUCCAGCUAACUUCCAAACUGUCUUUCUUCAUUCAUUCCCCUUUUGUUUUUUUCUCCAUCUAGAAGUAGAAUAGAAUAACCCGGUUGAAGGGUAUUGUGCAGCACAUGAAACAUAAAUAGUUUAAGUUAACUAGCUACUCUAAGUUUAUGAUCUGCACUUUGGGGUUUUCAGUACUCAUUACAUAGGACUUAAAAGGACAUAAUGACAUAUGUGGAUAUUGGUAGUUAUUCAGUGAUCAUGCGCCUAGAUUCUCUAGCAAUACUAACAGAUCUAGGUGAGGUAUGUAGCUAUCAACAAUUCGCUCUCUUCUAUUAGCUGACACAUAACCAACUCAGCCGCUGAUGUCUCUUCUUGUCUAUGGAAAAAAAAAACACCGUAAGUUCAUCUGGUAAUUAAGGUUUGAAAUAGCGUGCUAACAGAUUUAGCGGAGGCGGCCUCCAGAUGCUAUAAACACUAGCGUGCGUUACUUCAAAUAGCUUACUGCAAAAAAAAACUGCGAGAUAGCCCAAAAAUAAAAAAAAAUAAAAAAGAUUUCAACAGCUAAAACUUGUCUAUGAACGCAUAACCAACAAAAAAAAAUUCUCCAAUUGUCUACGGGACCAAAUCCAUGGCAUUAGCACAAAUAUGAGACAUAAAUUCAUAAACACGGUCAAGAUUAAAGGACUAAAUAGUUUUAAGGUAGUUACAUCUACAACCCACAAGGAGUGGUACACUACAUACUAGGACGUUUAGUGUGGUUCAGUGUCAGUACUUUGCAAACAGCGUUACAGCGAGCCAAAUUGCUUAAACGUAACGUGGCCUCUUCAGAUCCGCUAUAUCAAUGCUAAACCGCGCUAUUUUUUACUGGUUGAAAACAUGUCUUGUUUCUUCCUUGGGAAAUAACAUCGGCUUUGGCUGCAUAUCUUACUGUCAGCAUCUUUCGGAGACGGCUUUGGCUGCAUUUCUUACUGCCAGAAUCUUCCGAGUUUCCGGUUAUGUUCCAAGUUCAACUUUUCUAUCAGGAUUAUAACCACUAGAUUCUUAUCACUUUAGACCUUAUUUGGCACUGGUGUUUUUCAAAAUUUUAUCCCCUCAAAAUUCAAAAACACUAUAACCCCCAAAUGAUUUGUUUUGUAGGGGUGGAUUGCAACGGAUUAUUCCUAGAUUUCCGUACAAAACAUCUCAUUUUUACCAAUUAAAAACAUUUUUCAUACCAGUGUUUUGUAGUGGAAGGGGGUUUUCAGAGUAUUGAAUGAAUACCCAAUAUAGUAUACACUAGUGCCAAACAAAACCUUAGAAGAAACAAAACAUCGGCAAGUCAAGAAAGGAAGAAAAUAAGUUAUGUGUUUCCCUUGCAACAAGUGUUGGAGUUUCCUACGGUUGCGGUUUGUUCGGUUGCUAGUAAUCCCAUUUGGAUCCCAACUAUGUUUCUAGGUGCAAAACCCACGUGGAAACUCUCAUCGGGGAAAUGAGCGAGGUUUCCUUGGGUAGAGGAUCUACGUCUUCGUACUCAUGACGCGUGUUCCCACGUUGUCCUGCUCGUCCUUGAGCAGAAACAAAAAAAUUAGUUUAGAGAUUAAUGAGUAUUGUAUCAUCCUUUUUCUUUCGAUUGCAAAAUCUGAAGCAAAUAAAAUACUUGCUCCGAUACAUAAAAAGUGUCUUUCACUUGGUACAAAAUUUGUACUUACUUAGUAUAAAAUGAGCGACACUUUUUAUGAAUCGGAGGGAGUACAAUCAUUGACAAGUGUCUAUUGUUGGCAGGCUAUUUUUUUUUGCUUCUUUUACUCCUCCCCUUCUCUCUUGGGACAUCUAUGGCGUUCUUUUCUAUCUAAUCGAAUGACGAAAUCGACUGUCUUUUUUCUAAAAAAUAACAAUUGUCUGUGAUUGACUCUUAAUUAAUUAAAAAACAAAAGUUCAUAAUUAGCAUUUAUACAUGUGAUGGCUUGAAGUUAUGAUAGUGGCAUGAUCCGAAGGAUAUACACGUGAAAGUUUCCUCAUAACUAAGCAGUGUCAUCUAUUUAAAGAAGAAUGCUCGUGCAUAUAAUUUAGCAAUUUAUCUAGCAACAAACAAAAUCAUACAUGCGUUGGAGUUGGUCGUCGCGCCAUGGCUGGUAAGGUCAGGGAUAAAAGGAUGGGUACAAAAAAUACAUAGGAGGAGAAGAGUAAUUUCGGCAUCCCAAUGAUACGGACAUCUUUUUUUAACAGUGUGACUAACAAAAUGUGAUGGACAUACGGAUCUGACUAAUAGAAUGUGAUGGACAUUUGACAGUAGUGCUGCUUUGCGUCCAAAAACCAAAUUGUAGUUGUAUUUUGAAGAAAGCAAUUAUUUGAGUGGUAUUUGGGGACAUUUGGUUCUUUAUUGCUUCUUGGCAGUGGUAGCAUGGCAAUUCUCUAUUUACAGACGUCCUGAGCCAGUCGAACGUCCCGGAGCCAUCCCGGCCUCUCUCUCCUCUCCUGACCGCGCCGCGCGAGGCAACACGCCAGCACCCUACCGCGUGCGUCCCGUUCCGUAUUCCGAUCUCCCACGCCUUCGCCGCCGACGAGGUUGGUGGGCUCGACGAUCCGCGGACGCGACUGACCUACCCAACGCGACCACAAAGGUGCCGCCAUUACAAUUUUAUUAUUCGUUCCAUUUCCUAUCCGCGCCCCUGUCGCUGUCGUUUGAUCCGUCCCGUCUGUAUUGGUGGCAGGCUAGGGUUUCGCUCCGCGCGACCGGGGAUCGCGAUGGACAACAGGGAGAAGCCCCUGCCCGAGGCGGGGCAUCGGGGAGGCCCUGGCGGGGUCGCCGAGGAGGAAGCGGCGGCUGCGCAGGUCGGCGUCGACCCGGCGCCCGAUGUGACGGCGGCGAACGAGGGUGGUGGUGGCAGGAUCUUGGGUGGUGAGAAAGGGGACGCAGCCGAGGGGGUUGUGCAGGCCGAUGUGAAGCGGCCGCCUGGCGUGGGGGCGGCGCAGAAGGGUGGCGGUGAUGAGGUUGGCAAAGGUGACAUCAAGUCUGAGCCUGAUUCUGUGAGAUCGGAAUUUAACAGUAGCGCUGAUGGCUCAAUGGAUCCAUCGGCGGGCCAUGGUCACCAGGUCACUCAGAACAGAGCCGGGAAUGGGACACCAACUGCGGCUGAGUCCGACGAGGACGCUGAUCUCUUUGUAGAGGUAGAGCAGCAGGAGCUGGCUGGUUCAGAUCAGAGCGAGGAGUUUUUCGAUAAUGCAGAGGCUUUGGUGGCUGGAGAAUCUGUUGAUGUUGAGGGUGAUGCGAUUGAGGAUGGUUCACAUGCCGAGCUUCGUGUAGAGGAUGAUACCAUGCAUGAUGAGCAUCGGGAGCGCUUGGAGGAGGAAGCUAUGUUGACAGCGAUCAGGCAGUGUGUCACAGAUGCUGUUUUGGCUGAGCAUAUGGAGGAGCAUCCAGAGAAGGGUGGCGAAGAUGUUCCUGCAUGUGUUGGCAACCCUGACAUCCCCGUGAGUUCUAGUGGUGAACCUGAGCAUAUUAAAGAAGUUAAGUUGGCUGAUCAGAGCACAGAGCAGCCAGAAUAUAGCGAGGGAGAUAUUCCUACCCGUGAUAGCAAGCUUGAGGUACCUGCACAAUUUGGAGGUGAACCUGAUGUGGUGGUCGAGGAAUUGGCUGACUCAAACUCCUCUGAUGAUGAAAAUAAGGGUAGCUCUGCUUCUGCACGACCCUCUAGUGCUGCUGCAGGGCAUUCUAAUGGAUCCUCUUUACCUUCUCGCCCUGCUGGCCUUGGAUCAUCGACUUCCUUGUUACAACCUCCCGCUCGACCGGUUCAGCAGGUCCGUGCAAAUGGCCCGGUAGGUGUGGGAAGGGACACGCGGCAGGAUAUCGAAUCUGCUGGGGAUGACGGAGAUGAGAAUGAUGAAAUCCGUGAGAAACUCCAGAUGAUACGGGUUAAGUUUUUGCGUUUUGCUAAUAGGUUUGGGCAAACGCCUCAUAAUAUGGUGGUCUCACAGGUUCUUUACCGGCUCGGGCUGGCAGAACAGAUCAGAAGCAAUACAAAUACAGGUCAUGGUGUUUUUAGCUUUGACCGAGCACAAGAGAUGGCGGAGCGUCUUGAAGCUGCCGGAAAUGAGCCCCUUGAUUUGUCUUGCACUAUCUUAGUUCUUGGUAAAACUGGGGUCGGUAAAAGUGCUACUAUCAAUUCGAUAUUUGAUGAUGUCAAGCUGGAGACAGAUGCUUUUGAAUCCAGCACUAGAAAAGUUCAGGAAGUAGUUGGGAUGGUUGAGGGAAUCAAAGUAAAAGUGAUUGAUACACCUGGCCUUUCAUGCUCAUCUUCAGACCAACACUACAACCAGAAGAUUCUCAAUUCCGUGAAGAGACUUGUCAGCAAAAGUCCUCCUGAUAUUGUUCUUUAUUUUGACAGAUUGGAUAUGCAGAGCAGGGACUAUGGUGAUGUCCCUCUGCUGCAGACCAUUAGCAAAAUAUUUGGAGCCUCGGUUUGGUUCAAUGCCAUAGUCGUGUUAACUCAUGCUGCAUCAGCACCACCAGAUGGGCCGAAUGGUAUUCCUCUUAGCUAUGAGAUGUUUGUCACCCAGAGAUCCCAUGUAGUCCAGCAAGCUAUAAGGCAAGCAGCUGGCGAUGUUCGUCUUAUGAAUCCAGUCUCCUUGGUGGAAAACCACUCAGCGUGCAGGACAAAUAGGGCAGGCCAGAGAGUGUUACCAAAUGGACAAGUCUGGAAGCCACAGUUGUUAUUGCUCUGCUUUGCAUCAAAGGUUUUAGCAGAGGCCAAUGUGCUUCUCAAGUUGGAGGAUAGUCCCACUGGUAAACCUUCUAAUGCGAGGAUUCCCCCGCUUCCUUUCUUCCUUUCUUCACUUCUUCAGUCUCGAGCCCCAGUGAAGUUACCGGAGGAGCAGUUUGGUGACGAUGAUGAUCUUGAAGAUGUGGUAGAUGAUUGUGGUUCAGAUGAUGGUUCAGACUAUGAUGACUUGCCUCCUUUUAAGCGCCUUGCGAAGUCUCAACUUUCAAAGCUGAACCACGCACAGAGGAAGGCAUAUCUUGAGGAGCUAGAUUACAGAGAGAAGCUAUUCUACAAAAAACAGCUGAGAGAGGAACGGCUGCGUCGUAAAAUGAUGAAGAAAAUGGCAGCAGAAGCCAGGGCUCGAACAGAUGAUUUCAGUAACAGCAAUGUUGAUGGUGAUGACAGUACUCCAACCAAUGUUGCUGUGCCUAUGCCCGACAUGGUAUUGCCCUCAACUUUUGAUUCUGACUAUCCUAGUCAUCGCUACCGUUUUCUGGAUACGCCAAGUGAAUGGCUUGUCAGGCCUGUGCUGGAGACCCAGGGCUGGGAUCAUGACGUUGGUUAUGAAGGUCUAAAUAUUGAAAGAUUAUUCGCUGUCAAAGGUAAGGUCCCUUUAUCUGUGUCUGGACAACUGACAAAAGACAAGAAGGAUAGCUCCCUGCAAAUGGAGGUUGCAAGUUCAGUUAAGCAUUCCGAGGGUAAAACAACUUCACUCGGACUUGAUCUGCAGUCUGUUGGCAAGGAUAUGGCAUACACUAUUCGUGGCGAGUCGAGAUUCAAGAACUUCAGGCGCAAUAACACAGCUGCUGGCAUAUCUGCUACGCUCCUUGGAGAUUCUGUAUCAGCUGGUGUGAAGAUUGAAGACAGACUGAUCGUGAACAAGCAGCUGCGGCUUUUAGUAAGUGGUGGCGCUAUGAGCGGGAAAGGAGAUGCAGCUUAUGGUGGCCGCCUCGAAGCAACACUGAGAGACAAAGAUUACCCAAUAGGGCGUAUGCUUUCUACUCUCGCGAUUUCGGUUGUAGAUUGGCAUGGGGAUCUGGCAGUUGGUUGCAAUGUCCAGUCUCAGAUUCCUGCUGGAAGAUCUAGCAGCUUGAUUGCCAAUGCGAAUCUAAGCAACAAGGGGACCGGGCAAGUCGGCAUUCGCCUAAACAGCUCCGAGCAUCUCCAGAUCGCACUCAUUGCCUUUGUGCCUAUAUAUCAGAACAUCAGAAAGUUAUUAGAGAAGUACUCUGAAUCUGCCUAGUAUUAACUAUCUUUAUAGGCCUGAAGCGACAGCGACAACAGCACAAAGCAUAAAUUGGAACGAUCUAUUUACUUCUUUAUUCAAUCUUUGCCAACUUUGUAAAAAAAAUUUAUCUCCUUUAGCUCGAUUUGAUGAAAUUGGAUUUUCGAAUACAUCCUCUGUCAAACGCUUUCUGGUAUUAUCCUCGCUGUUUUCAUACCUGUCCACCAGUCGCUGGUGCCCCCCUUCUCAUACACAAAUGUGCUGGCACUGCAUACCUGUUUCUUCCUGAUAUCUGAGUUUUUCUGCAUAUUACCAAAAAUGCACUAGGGGUAUAAUAAUUUUGAACAACAACCCAGUUUCUUAGCCGUGUAAACGGCAAAGCCUCUGUUUGUGACUGCUGAACUGUGUGCGUGGCAAACAUGACUACAAGAAUCCAACAAGAAUAGAGGCUAAUUUCACUUUCGUGCCAUUUGUACAUUUUAUGCUGUCGCUUCUGCUGUGAGGUUAUAAUUUCUAUCUUUGGUACCUUUCCUGUGGUAAUUCAAGAACAAGUAAUAUCACCUUUCUUUUCCUGCUUGGAAACUGAUUUAUUGGAUUUUUGGGGUAAGGGGUUAACUACCUCUAGCUUGGAUGUUAGAAAUGUUUGCUGAGAAAUAAUCUUCUAUAUCUAAGUAGGAGAACCCCACUACUUGAUUUCUCUCAACAUGCAAGCAUGCCACAUUAUCACAUCAUUAAUUUGUUCACACCUAUUUAGUGAGAAACUCAUAUUUUUUGCACAUGCAGGCAUGCUGCUUCUAUCAAGCUAUCCCCACUUAGUGAAGAAUCUAUCGUGCAAUUUCAUUAUAUGUUUCAUAUUGUGGAUAAUCUUUUGUUGCUACUCAAGUUCACUCACGUAUGUUAAAGUAAAAAUUUCCGCAACGUGCGGGGCAUCAUCUAGUUCUGUACAAAUGAGGAGACAUCUAAUCUGACAAAUAAUUCUCCCGUUCGGUUUACUUUUCCUUUUUACAUCAAUGUGGUUUAGUUGUUUAAUUGAUUGUGUCGUGUGGUUGUAAAUUGAUAGAGCUGUGCAACAAAUGAAACUUCUGAUGCUACUUGGUACUGUUUUAUCCGAAAGAAUUAAUAUGGUCUGUCAGUAUUGAACCAGUCAUGGCCAAACAAAUAUAUAGCAGUGAACAAUUAUGGGAACUUGGUUGUAAGCUGAGUAUUUCCUCCUACUUGUUUAUUGGCCUCAGAUCCUCAUAUAUCCAAUAUUGUGACAGGAAGAUGGUCUUGCCCGGAUGUUUUAUGCCUUUAAAUCCACAUGGGACUACAGCCUCUGUGAGUAUGCCUCUCAAUCCUCCCAUUUGCCUCCUUCAUCUGUGGUUGGAUUUUUUUUACGCAAGGUGGGAGCUCUCCACUUCUUGGUCGGCUUCACUGGCUCGAUGUGGUGACUCUCAUGGAUUCACAGAGACUACCCCAAAGCAGUGGCUCCGUCACACUGAUUUGGAUGGUUGAGCGAUGCUGCCAGAUCCUCACAAAGUGUAUCUUGUCUAGGUGGCUUGCUACUGCAUGCUCGAGAGACCCACAGCUUGCAGGUUCGAGUCCCACCAUCCAACCUAUUUUGUAUUCUAGAAGGAAAAAAAAUGCCAAUCUGCCAAGCUACUGUGCUGUACUGGCUGCAGCACCUGUGCGCUCACUCCCUCAACUCCGUGCUUGUGCUCCAGGGCAACUCUCCCACUAAUCCACCAAGGACCAGGUAACACAUGACUGUUUGUUCUCUUAUUGCAUCUUAGUGUAUCUGAAUGGAUUUGUGUAUCUGAAUAACCAUGUAAUGGAUGUCUGCUCCUUGCAAGUUCGUGUCCUUGUCAAAUUUCAUUAUUUGCUUGCGAUGGUAAAUGGUGAUCUAGUGCAUUCAGAUUUCUUUGAUUACCAGAUUUGGUGAUUUUCCUCUUGUACGGAGACCAUGUAUGCAGUCCUCAUCAUUAGUGUUAUAAUACAAUAUGCUGUCAUUAGUUGCCACUGCAUGUUGACACAAUCUAGUGUUUUCUGGCUUUUUCUAAGAUCUCAUUUUUGCUCCUACUUUGAAAGCGAAAAAGAAAGUUGUACAUGUCAUUGACUUUGAGGUACUGCAUGACUACUCUAACAGAUGCCAUUUUGAUUGUGACUGAUUUAUCUGAAUGCCAUGUAGUGCGUGAUGCAUGUUGUUGAUAGUGGAUUUUCCAAGCAGAAGUGAUAACCCGGUACAUUAUCUUCGUUCUAUUUUUUUUCUUCAAUCUGGCUAUCAUAGAUAUAGCUUUACUUUCGUUUCUUUUCAUAGUAUAUUUUUGUGUGAAAUCCUGAAAUUUGAAUGCCAACUGCUGCAAUGAUCUUCAGACUGUGGCCUGCUAGUUCCCAUUCAAUUGUGCAUCCAUAAGAAAACCCCUUGACUAGUUGACUUGCAAUCCAGUAACUAAUCUCUAUCUGUAAAAGCAAUCCAGAUGAGUUAAUUAAGGACCGUUAUCAUUAUUUGCUUAUUGGAAAUAUAAUGGACCUGUUAAUAUUUUGAAGUUAUCUAUGACAUACUUCAGGGCUAACACAUUACUUGUGGCAUUGACCCUCAUCCAUCUUUAAGCUGGACUGAGCAAUCAAAACCGAGAUCAAAUUGUUUUGCUGUAGUUUUUUCUACCAUGUUUGCUUCGUUUGGUCUUCUUUGUUGCAGUCUCCUUUCGCAAAUUUCUGACAUCGAGAAGUAUAAAGUGUUGAGCAGUUCCGCGUUAUUGACGUAUAAGGUGAUGGUUAUGUUGUAUGCCGUGCUCAAUUGUGGUGAUUUUGAGCAAUUUACUGAUUGGACCACGUUUGGAGGGAAAAGAAUGCAAGUGCUUAUUUGAAUAAUUAUCCUACUCGUAUAUAUGUCCCUGUGAGAUGACAUUGGUCUGAUGAAAUGGGAUUCAACUUGGAUUUUCUUCUCUUGUUCUUUUUAGAGAAAUUACAUUUUCUUAGGGCACAAUCUUGCAAAUGGAGAGAAUUUUACAUAUGAAUAAACUUAUGGCUUUCCUAUUCCAUUAAUGAUACAAGCCUUUAUUUAUUUUCUGUUAUCUAUGCUGAUAUGCGACAUGGCGGUCCUUGUGAUGUUCCAAGUUUCAGUUUGUCCAUCUACUAGGUUCUUGUCACUUUAGAAUAAGCAAAGCAUCGAGAAAGUCAGGAAGGGAAGAAAAAAGGUUCUGUGUGCCCCUACCAAACUAAUUUUUGGGGUUUGCUACUGCUGGAAACUGCUUCCACCUUUUUUGAAAAGUGGAGGAUCUAGCAGACAGAUUAAGAGAUUAGGAGCUAUGUCUUCAGCAUAACGCAAAGAACAGUUAGAUUCGGUAGGACCUAAAAACCUCGGCAGUCAGCAUCGUAUCUAAUAACGUGGUGAUAUAAGAAUGCUGCCUCCCUCUGUCGCCGAAAACGGAAAGGAAUGCAAGAGUUCCUUCAGACCCGAGGCCCAUAGGGCUGAUUUUGGGCUCAAAACCAACCUCCAUAACAAGAUUUUGGAUACUUUGCAGCUGCGAAUUUGCAUAAAUGCUACAGGGACGACCAGGUUAAUUUACAAUUGUCAUAGUUGGCUAGUUGCUGUCAGAUGAAGAGCUCUGCCUUCAGCUUAAGGUAAAGAACAGUUAGAUUUGGUAGGUCCACAAAUCUACGAGGCUCGGUAUUCAACACUGUAUCUAACGCUCCUCUGAUUUAAAAUGACACUUGCCGAAAGGUAAAGGAACACGAAUUGUAUAGCCUCAAACUUUACAAAAAAGUACUCCGUAACUGUCAACUGUUUGUUCAGGGAGUUUGGAUCUCCACUUUGUCCUGCCAGCAAGUCAUAUCUUAUACAACGGUAUACAAUUGUCUUGGCCAUAUUUUGAAUUGAAUCCUACUUUGUUCUUCUUGGAUUCCGCGUACUAUAUACUUGAACCCAGGAGUACCAAUCAAUGCGUUAGCCGAAAAGGAUACCAUAUCCUGACCUGGUGUCUACGUGUUGUACUAUAGACGUCAUGAGUAGAACCGAUCAGUGGCCGGUCAGCCAGGGCAACUGGGCAACGAUGAUCUCCGUGCGAGCAAGCUACGAAGGGUUUUGUCCACGGCGAUGCUGACCGUCGCCACGUCCCCCUCGGCGUAAACACCGCGGGCGGUUCGCCGGCCAAAAAGUACAAGCAAACGCGGUGACUCGCGCGGCGGACACGCGUAAGGAGUUAGCUGAGCUUGAGUCUCCACCUCUCACCGAGGGAAAAGAAGACGUGAUUGUGACAUUAAUUCCUUGAAAAUAACCACUGCCGACAGUCGGGUGCGUAUCUUUCUUUGAGGUCACGAGGUAGAUCUGGUUCCUUCGGUGAUGGUUAAUACAGUAAUCUGUGGGAGCUGAUCGUUCCAUAUUUUGUUGUUUUUCAAACCAGGGUGAUCCAAUCGCCCACUUGCACGUGGUCAUUCAGAACUUCAGGUGCGGUACACUGUAUUGAAUAAUGAAGGAUUGCAAUUUUAAAAGUUAUCUGUUUUGUUUUGUUUUUCAUAAAUCCAAGUUCCAUUCGUCAGUCUUUUGGUUCUAUCCGAGGACACCGAGUAUUUUGUCUCGAGAAAAAAAAGGUCGGUUCUCGAUUAAGGAUUAACAGGAAUACAUAUCGGUGGAGAAAACGCGGGCAUUCCGCGGAUCAACUUUUUCUCCCGAGCUGCUUCUUUCUUUAAAGCCGCGACAGACAAAUUAGUUUGUUAGUCGGAAAGCCUGCGAGCCUUUUCGACAUGCUAAAAUCUGUCUAAGCAAGCCGUACAUUCCCACUAAUUCAUUCUAGUCAGAUACAGGUCAGCGUCGCCCACGAUAUCACUGUGAUGUAGAAAGGCGAUAAAGACGUCUUCUUUCUUUAUUUCUCCUUAUUAAAAACAUUGUUAAAGGCGAUACAGACUUGGCGACGAUAGAAAGCCACUAGGUGUCCGCAGCAUGUCGACUGUCGUGGCAGCUUGUGUUGAUCUAUCAAUAACGGGGUUCGUUAAACAUAAAAUCGAGCCUAUCCAGAUCUGACCGGGCAGUGGACUCGGCUGAAAUAAACCCCGGUUGUGAAAGGUUCACCUUGGAACCAUCGGAAGCUCAGCUCUGGGGUUGGUUGGGUUGUGGGGGAGGGCAUGUGACAUGUAUGACUUGAGAACGUCCCGUGCCACAAGUUAAGACCUCAAAUUGCGUCCAAAAAUACAAAACCUCGGGCAUAGAAGGAGGCAAGCAAUUGAUGGUGCUGCCCUUUUGGCCGGUGCAUCUACACCUAGACACACGAUCUGAUCACUCUCUUGAACUAAUUAUUAAAAGAAUAAAUUGCCCCUGAUUGUAUUGUUUACAUAUAGUACAAACAGAUCGCCCACACCUAGGUGAGUCUUGGGCCAAUCAGCUGCAAGACGUUUUUGUUCCGGCAAGUGGAGUAGUAUUCAAAUCGAAGAAGGCUCUAGCCUCUAGGGACCAGUCGUUCUGCACUUGCAAGAACAAUUGAUUUUAGAGUACGUUUUAUUGCACUGUGCUCGCACGCGUACAAAACGUGUAUUGAUGGUCUGCACGACCUUUACCCCAUCGGUGUUCUUAUAAUCGCAAUUCGUGGUUUAGAUAACAGUCUCCGGCUGUCUAUCAAACUUUGAUGCGGUUCAAAAAUAAUUUUACUUUUUGCUAUAUCCAAGUCAGUCUUAUUUUUAGUCAGUGAUAAUUGAGUGCUUGGUCGUUGGAUCUAACGGAUCGUGCUUUAAGGUUCGGGAUGAGUGACAAAGAAGAGGAAGUAGUGAUGAUGUCAGAUACAGAUCCGAUGUUUUUAUACUAUAUAUCGACUGAGAUUUAACUUUUUCCUUAGUUAGAUGUCUUAGUAUACACACCCUAAUUCUUAAUUGCAACGCCCGGCUUUGGGAGGAUGGAGCUGGCUCCUUCCCCUCCCGCGACGGCGGGGCGGCCGGCGCCACCACCACCCACCUCCUCCCCCAGCCCCACACACCAAAUUAGCCCCUGACUUUUCCCCACCCCGUCGACCUGGUCCACCCCUGUGCGUUUCUCCUGGGCGGACGCCUGCGAAGAGGAAGAAGGCGAGUUCAUCCCGGAUUCGCCGCCGCUGACCCUGGGAACGCGGGCCCAGAUCCAGUCCCUUGGUCCGCAGAUCGACGUUGCUGCUACUCGGAUCUAUAUUCCCCCGUAGAGAAGAUCCGCUGGGCAGGAUGCUGCACUUCUCCCUGCUUUCAAUGCGGGAUCUGCGUGCAGAUCUGCAUUCAAGGCCGCUCCCCUGCCUCCUCCCCCGGCUGGCCUUCCUCCCCGCGGACAACCGCGUCUCUUCAAUGCGGGUGGGCCGGCGCCCUCCGGGUCCCCACCUGGCGGCCGCUGGGUGCUCCCUCCUCCACCGACGGACCGGCCUCCGCGAGGUCAACCCCGCUUUCACCUUGCGGGGGGCUCGAGGGUGCAAUCGAGUGCCUCUCCUCGUCUGGUCACGUCGGUUUUGAAGCGACAAGACAGCGCCUUCAAGGCGACGCCUGCCAUUGAUGGCUGGCAGAUGGUUAGGCGGGUGCAUUGGUGGUGCCGGGAGCCCCGAGGAGGCGAACAGUUGGACUCCACCGCAAAGAAGAAGGAACGCCUCGCUGCGCUACUUAAGAGAAUGCGUGGGAGAUGCUUCCGAUGUCUGAGUUCUCGCCACUUCGCCUCCCACUGCCGUGAGCCUCGACACUGCUGGAGGUGUCGCCGCCCCGGCCACAUCGAAUCUGAUUGCCGGGCCGCCCCGGCCUCCCCCCUCCAUGCCGUAAGACCCGUGCCACCCCCGUCACCCCCCUCCACUCCUACACCGACGUCCUGAUGGCUGGCGACGGCGAUUUCAAGGAUAGGCCGGAGGAGGACACCUGCGUCGUCGCGCUGGACCAGGAGAUGAUCACGGCGGAGCACUCCUUCAACACCCACGCCGUUCUCGUCAACAUCGGCGGGGACCGCCCGCGUACGGAGCCACGCCAUGUCGCCGACGUCCUCUGUCAGGUGCUCAACAUCACCCUCGAUGAGGUGAGGGUCGCGCCUCACCUGUCGGAAGACUUUUUCGUCUUCUUCACCGAGCCGACUGUCCGUGAGGCUGCCGUCGACAAGGAGCGCUUCCAUCACAAUGGCAGGGAGUUCACCAUUCUGCCUUGGGCAGUGGAGCGCCACCCGGAGUGGAUCUCGAUGCCCUACCACGUGCGCCUCUGCGUGGAGAACGUGCCGGCUCACGCCUGGACGAUGAAGACGGCAACGAGCAUCGUGGGGCGCCGCGGCAAGGUCCACUUCGUCGAAGACCAAUCUCUUCGCCGGGAGAACUUGACGACGUUCAACUUUUGGGUUUGGACAGCCAACCCGGCGGGUUUCCCUCGCCGGUGCCGUCUCACGCUGAUGGACAACCGCGACGAAGCCCGCUCCACAACGCCUUUGUUCAUGCCGGUCGUCGCCCACGACACCCCCGCGGCCGGCCUCGAGGGGCGGCGUUCCCGGCUCAUCGUCCACAUUGACAUCGUGGAGGACCUCACCACCCUCACCCUGGAGCGCGAGGGUGGCGUGGCGCCACCACGCGGACGACGCGUCAUCCAGGGCGGGAGUUCGGGCAGGGCGACUCCGAUCGCCGCGACAACAGACGCCGCCCGCCUCCGCCCACACGCAACUGCAAGGACGGCGCCAAGGACGUUUGGCGCGACGACAGGGACUGCGACGGGGACAGAGACGGGCGCAGGGACCGCCCUGGCCGCCGGGAUGGGCGCAAGGAGGCCCCCUCUCGCCGGGAGUGGGUGGCGCCUUACCCGCAACGACGCGUUGUGGUCGACGACAACUACUCGCGCCACGGUGGGCACCGCCUCGCCUCUUCGGUGUGACCGGGGCGACGGGGAAGAAGCGUCUUCACUUCACGCGCCCCUGCUCGCCGCGCCGCCUCUGCCGUUGCAGCUCUGGGAUGCCGGCCUUCGGCCACGGAGCGCGGCCCUCCACCGCCACCGCCACCUGACACCUCGCCGAUGAUCUCGCCACCUGCCUCCCCGCCACGGGCUGCGGAACCGCUGCUGCCGAGCCUGGCCUCGGGCAGCCACCCGACGUCGGGAAACCCGCCGCCCUCCGUCACCGACCUGUACCUCUGCUCCACGCCGGAGUCUAUGCCUGCGACGCGCCCUCCACUGCUCGACGACUUCAUCAACACCAUCACCACGAAGCUGCCGCAACCCAUCCUUCCACUCCCGACUACCUCCCCGGCGGUCAUCGAGCCGACCCCAGAGCUGCGCCGCAGCGCCAGGUUGGCGGCUCGUUCGGCUGGCCUCACUACGGAGAUGGCGGCACAGGCCCUGGUCUCGCGCCGUUUGGGAUCCCUUCCUACAGUGGCUUCCUUCGAUGAUCGGGCCAAAGAGGCAUACCUGGCCCUCUUUGCGACCCUGCUAUCCGACCUGGUGAUUGCGGCGAUUGAAGAUCUUGUGAAGGAGGCCAAGAAGACGAAGAAGCUCCCCCUUGGCUCGGGCAUUGGCCGUGGACGUGGGCACGGCGCCGGGCGUGGCCGUGGCAUCCCCAUCGUUUAGAUGUUGCCUCCCCUUCACUCCGUUGUCUGGUCGUCUCGCAUGUCUCCCAUGUCGCCUAGCGUCCUUCUCCGUCAGUCCUCGUCGAGUUUUGUUUGCAACUGCAGUAGAUGUAGGGUUAGUCGUCAGCCUCUCGGAAGGCCUAUCUGUAUCAACUGGUUAUCGUCGAACUUCUUUGUGAUGUCUCUGUGGUGUCCACUCCUGCCUGGGCUCCGCCUCACCGAGGCUGGUGGGCCUCAACUAGGCUGAGCUGGGCUACACGGUGUGUGACCUCUCCUGCCUAGAGGCCCCCUUCUCCAUCAAGGAAAUCCGGGCGGCGAUGUUUGACCUUCCCCGAGCCCCGACGGCUUCAUUGGGCUUUUUUUCCGCGACUGUUGGGACAUCAUCAAGGAGGAUCUCAAAUUUGCCAUUGACGACAUGGCCAACUUGGGGGGCAUAUCUCGAGCCUCGUCAACUCCGCCAAUGUGAUCCUUCUGCCAAAGAAGGGAGACGCAACGACCAUCCGAGACUUCAGACCGAUUAGCCUCAUCCAUAGCCUCGCCAAGAUCUUCUCCAAGCUUAUGCCUUUGCGACUUGCCCCACUCCUCCACGACAUCGUUUCGGCCAACCAAUCGGCGUUCGUCAAGAAACUGUGCAUCCACGACAAUUUCGUCCUCGUCCAAGGUAUCAUCCGUGGCAUGCAUCACAGGCGUGAGGUGGGAUGCUUUCUCAAGUUGGACAUCUCUAAGGCUUUCGACUCGGUCUCCUGGCCUUACCUUCUCGAGGUUCUCGAAACCCUUGGCUUUGGGCCACGGUGGUGUCAGUGGGUCGCCAUGCUUUUGUCCUCCGCGUCCUCCCAUAUCCUCCUCAAUGGGGUCCUAGGGACAACGAUCCGCCACACUCGCGGGCUCCGGCAGGGCAACCCGCUCUCCCCCAUGCUGUUCAUCAUCGCCAUCGAUCUGCUCCAUCACAUCCUGCGUCACUCCGCGGACGCGGGGAUCAUUAGGCCUUUUCGUGACGCGCAAGUGAAAGUGCGGGUCUCCCUUUACGCCGAUGAUGCCGGCAUCUUCACCAGCCCUCACGUCGACGACCUUGUGGCAAUCAAUCGGCUCCUUCAUAUUUUCGGCGACGCCUCAGGCCUUCGCACCAACCUCGAGAAGUCAGAGCGCUUCCUGAUUGGAUGCAGCGAGGAGCAGGCUAGGGACGCCCUCGAUGCCUUCCCGGCCAGAAGGGGCUCCUUCCCCUGCACCUAUCUUGGGCUCCCGCUCAGCCCAAACCGCCUCAAGUCAGUGGCAUUCCAGCCUCUCAUCGACAAGAUCGGCUCCAGACUCGCGGGGUGGAAGGGGCGGCACUUCACCAAGGCCGGCAGAGUGGUGCUUGCCAAGUCGGUCCUCUCGGCAAUGGUAACGUACCACCUCACGGCCUUCUCCAUUCCGGCCGGCAUCCUCAAGCAGAUCAACAAGCUCAUCUGCUCCUUCAUCUGGAUGCACCAUGGCUCCCCGGGACAACAACAUUCCUCGCUCUCGCUCGUCAACUGGGGCUCGGUGUGCCGCCCCAAGGAGCUGGGAGGUCUCGGCAUCCCAGAUCUUUGCAGAUUUGGGAGGGCGUUGCGCCUCCGUUGGCCGUGGUUCUCCUGAACUGAUCCUGGCUGGCCUUGUUUCGGGCUUCCACCAGGAUCCAACUCGGGAACGGUGCCAAGACCCUGUUCUGGCACGAUGCCUGGCUGCUGGAUGGGCAGAUCGCCAGCCAGCGCUGGCCGGCUCUUUUCGCCAUCGCCUCGCGGAAGAAUCGCUCCGUCCAGAAAGAGCUGACCUCCCACAAUUGGAUCUGUUCUCUUCUUCGCAUCUCCACGCCUCGACAGUUGACGACCUUUGUGGAACUUUGGGAGGCUUUGCGUGGGAUCACCCUCUCCGACACGGCCGACUCCAUCACUUGGAAGUGGUGCACCUCGGGUGCCUGCUCUGCGGCCUCGGCAUACAAGGCUCAAUUUCACGGCUCCUCCCCCCCGUUUGCGUUGACCAAGAUCUGGCGGGCUCAGGCGGAGCCGAAGGUCCGCUUCUUCGCCUGGACAGUGAUGCACGGAAAGAUCUUGACGGCUGACAACCUAGCCAUUCGUGGAUGGCCUCACAACCCCAUUUGCCAGCUUUGUCGCAUUCAUCCUGAGUCUGUUUCCCACCUUUGCCGGGACUGCUCCUACACGAAGGAGGUGUGGGUGCUCAUCCAAACCUGGGGUGAUCACACACCCCGGGCUCCUCCCCCUGACUCCUCCAUCGAUGCCUACUAGGAGGCCCUUAUCCAUGGAAGCCCCAAGGCGACGAAGCGGGCCAUUAGCGGAAGUCUCUUGUACACGUGGUGGGGGGUUUGGAAGGAGCGCAAUAGGCGCAUUUUCAAGGGGGCCGCGAUGCCCAUCCUUGAGGUUGCCCUCCUCAUUUGGGAGGACAUCCGGGUGCGGAUUCGUGCGUGUUUGGCUGAUCCAGGAGAUUAAGCUUUUCUCCCUUCCAUUUUUUUCUUUCUUUUCUGUUUUCCUUGGAACCCUCCUUGGAUCCUUUUGUACAGUAUUCCUUCUUCUAAUCGAAUGACGGAGUCCGACCGUCUUUUUCUCAACAAAAUAAAUUUAAUUGCAACGUCCCAACGGUUGGCCAAUGUAAUUGAAAUUGUGAGAGUUGGACCAUGAGCUCCCAUAGCCAUGAUCUCUUGAUUGUAACGGUUUAGCUAAAAAAAUCGCAUGUUUUAGUUAGAGAUAAGUCGGCAUGUCUAUCGAUUGGAUCUUAAUCCAAUAACAUCACGUGGGAGAAGGAAUGGGAAUGACAUCGAGAUCUUAAUGUUCUCAUACUUCAACUGAGAUUUCAGACUCUUUCUUAAAAAUCAGGCAAUCGAGAUAUACUCCAUCUGAUCCUAACUUUUUGUCGUGGUUUUAGUUUAAAUUUGUACUAGAACCACGACAAAAAUUUAGGACGGGGGAGUAGCAUGCAUCCUAAUUUCAACUCUAUGAAGCAAACAUAUAAUUUUACAGGUUACAACCCUAAAACUAAGGGAGACAAUUUAUCUUGGUAAUCAUGUCACCGCGUUGGAUCUCAUAUGGAUCUGCCUCUUCCCAAUCCGAGCAGCCCCUUCCCGCAAUGAUCCAAAAAAGGAAACUGAAAUAGAACUAGUACGGAGCAAAUACAAUUUCCCAAUUAAAAUAUCUCUCAGAUCGCAGCAUAUAAGGCUACGCGCACCCACCCAAACCUUCGCACCACUGCCGCACGACGCCCCUCCGCUCUCACCUCCGCCGUCGCAAUGGCGAUUCGCCGGCAGCGCCGCCCCUUCCCGCUACUCCCCCUCCUCAUCUCCCUCCUCGCGGCCGCCGCCUAUGGCCGCCUCAUCUCCGACGGUUCGCCCGCCUCCACGGCCUCCUCCUCCAUCCUCAUCGCCUCCCCCGUGUCGUCCUCCGACGUGAUCCGCCUCAACACCUCCUCGCCGGCCGCCGCUGAGGCCGAGCAGUGCGAGCAGUCGUACGGCUUCCUCCCCUGCACCACCACCGUGUUCGGUAACCUCUUCCUAGUGCUCACCUACGGGUUCCUGAUGUUCAAGGCGGCCACGUUCCUGUCGGCGGGCAGUGAACUGUUGCUCGAGAUCAUGGGCCCCGGCCUUGUCGGCGGCCUCCUCCUCCCCAUUCUCGGCGCUCUCCCCGACGCUCUUCUCGUGCUCGGUACGCUCGCCUUUGCUUCCUUACUUAAAUUGUUUUUGCAAUCUGAUGUGUCGCGAAGUCUUCGGUUGCCUGCACCCUGGUUCAAGACUUCUACGUAGCAAAGCAAUUCUUUUUUUUUAUUUACAAACGGACAAAGCAAUUCCUAAGGAUCUGCUCUUCACGCAAAUAUAGAGCUGCUUUACAAAUAGAAGCGGUAAUUGUUAAAAAUGAAGAGUAAAAAGAAUCUGAUUUUCUUGACAGAGGGGGUAAAACCAAGAGUAAAGAAAAAGAACAAUUCUCCCGUUUAUGUUCGCGCUUUUCGGUUCUUGGUAUUUUAAGAUCUGAAUCCUCUAGCUUGAUUUGUGCUUGGAGCAGAGCGUAAGCUUUAGGAUCCGCUUGGGGACCAUUGACUGCUCAGUUCCCUCCGCUGCUCUUAUCUGCUUGCUCUUUUCUUCAGUGCAUGUCUACUUGCCUAUUUUUGGACUUUUGGAUUAAGCCCCUACCGUAGAGACGUGCAGACACCAACAAAUGAGGCUUGCAAGUUGUAAAUUAUGCCCUGUUUUGUCUGGAAUGUGCUUUUACUUAAGUUGAACUUUUCCCCCAGUGCUUCUUAUCGCUGGCCUUUUGACGCCCCCCCCCCCCGCUCCCCCCCCUUUCAGUUCUUUUUCUUUUCUUCUCAGGAGUAUCUUCUUUGCAUAAUUAAAUUCUCUCCAUGAGCUGCACAUAGUUAGUUGGCUGGUGAAUCGUUGGUGGUGGGUAAAUAUAGUGUUCCAGCGGUAGCGGACAAUUACUCUCUCAGUUCCAAAAUGUAGUGUAUAUAACUUUUGUUGACGGUUAAACCUUCUCAAGUUUGACCAACCUUAUAACAAACGUAUCAACAUCUACAGUGUCAGAUGCAGAGGCCGGGGGGUUUCAACCACCUUUUCGAAAAAAAAAUCUACGGUGUCAGAUGAAGAUCAUUAGAUCUAUUGUGAAAUAUAUUUUCAUACUUGGUUUGACACUCUAAAUGUUUGUAAUUUUUACCAUAAACUUGGUCAAACUUUAGAAAGUUUGACAGUCCGCAAAAUUUAGACGCCAUAUAUUUUGGAAUGGAGGGAGUAUUAUUUGGCCGAUUGAUCAGCUAACAUCUUACAUGUCCAUUGUUUUAUAACGCUAUGGGUUGUGGUGUACAUCAUACUAUGCAUCAUCUAGAUGAAUAACUUUUUAGUCAAAAUUGAGUAUAUUAUUAUACACCAAAAUUUACCUGUUAACAUCCAUUUAGUCAAACGCACAAGACUAGUCGCAUGGUAAUACCCAUCUGCAUGACUAGCGCAUACCAUUUUUUACAACAUCAAUAUCUUGACUUUGCAAGAUUUGAGUUGCAGAGCAUAUUUUGGACCUUAUGAUCUUCAAGUAUAUCCCUUCUUUUUCGUUGGAUUGCAUCCUGAUGGAUUUUAGUUUGUAGUUGUAAUUCAUCUCUGCAGAUAGGCUUUGUUGGUGCAUGGUCUUCUUUUUGACAUAGGUGCAGACAUUGAGUUCAUAAUGCAUUACUUUAGGGCGUGUUAGGUAACCCUCCAGCUUCUGGCUUCCUGUAAAUUCAACCCGGAGCGGCACCGAACACAAAAACUCCAAGAAACUAGAUCUAAGAAGCUAGCCCAAUUCCCUUCACAAAACGCGGAGCACCUCUUUUGGAGAUUCCCGGAACUGAAAAACGCGGAGCAGACCGAAAUUACGGAAGAUGUGCCACCGCCAAGUGAAAAACGGUUCGAUGCGCAUCUAUUUCUCUCCCCAUCGUCUCUUUCCCGAUACCCUUCUCCUUCCCAACACCGACGAGGCCACCUCGACUUCGUCGCGAGCCGGCGGUCCGGCGGCGACCUCCUCCUCCUCCCCGUUCUCCUCCGCCCCUGGCACGACCCUCCCCGACCAUGACCUCGUCCGCUCCGCCGCAAGCUGCGUUGACCCGGCCACAUCCGCCCCCUGCCUCCACCCUGUCCGGCCACCUCCGCCGCCGCAUCCAAAUCGAAGCACGAGCUGUCUGCGGGCGGCCUCCUCCUCCUCCUAAGUUCUCCGGUGGCCUACUCUUGUCCACUCGUCGCGAGCUGCCUCGACCCGGCUUCCUCAUCGAUGCUCCAGGACUCGAUUUUCUCUCCUGGCUGGCCUGCGAUGCUCUGCUGCUAAUUCCAGCAAGCGGGAUGAACAGGGCUUGGCGGUGGCUGGCCAUUAAUGGGCUUCCAGCCCAGUACAAAGGAAGGAGUUGUGCUGUACGUUUUGUGCUCCAGAUCGGAAGCAGAAGUGGGAACAGGAAGCAGGAUCUGAGGAUUUUCGGGAAGCCAGACCGUUGCCGAACACACCCUUAGUCUUCAUGUAACAUCUUGGUUACCUACAUUAGUACCUUGGCUACUUACAUGCAUCAGGAAGGAUCUAAUUUCUUCAAAGAUCAAACUGAAGGUUCCCUGGUGGGAUAUGUAGUUGCCUCUAUGCUCUGAUAAGACCUUCAAUUGCAUGCAUCUAAUUCAGAUAUAUAUAAAAAGAAUACUGAAUGCACAUUUUAAUACUGUACAAGUUUGCAGCAUGCUUUAUUUAUAACACAGCAUGGCUGUCAAAUUUGGUACAUUACUCUAAAUUUGAUCAACUCACACUUCUGUUUUAUCUUAAUAAUGUAGCCUCCAGUUCUCCAGUGGCCACUUCAGAGACCAGCUUCUUACAAUAGCUUGUUUGCGCAUCCUUAGUUGUUGGUUUUUAAGUGCCAUAUAGCAUUUGAACGUGACGGGAACAUCUAUUUUGCUCCCAUUGCUAUGUGAAUAAUAGAUCUAUUCAUGAUUUGCUAGAAUCAUGAAGCUAUUCAAUUUCGCUACUCUAUGAAUAUUCAUCUCUGUGCAGCUUCGUGCCUGCGUCCACAUAUGAUUCUGAUCUUGUUCUGUCACAUUAACAGUAUCUGGUCUCUCCGGAACUAAAGAGACUGCACAAAGUCAGGUCCUCAUAGGAAUGGGGCUGCUUGCUGGUUCGACUGUCUUUCUUCUUACCCUGCUUUGGGGAACUUGUGUUGUUGUUGGCAAAUGCGAUGUUGGGCCAAAUAAUGUUGCUAUUGAUUCAACCGACACUAAGGGCUUCAGCUUGACUGGUAAGUUGUCAGGUUCAAUAGUUAAAUUUCAGGAUUAUCGAUUUUCAAAAAGAGCAUGUGCAAAGUUCAAUUAUUGAUUAUUUUUUGGUAAUAGUUGAUAUGAUUCCCUUGUUUUACAGGUGCUGGCAUUUCGACUGAUGUGCAGACCAGCUACGCAGCACGAAUCAUGGCCAUAUCUGUUAUUCCCUUUGUCAUUGCUCAGUUCCCAAAAAUGUUGAAGACUCACCAUGGGGAGCGCCUAGCCAUCUUGCUGGCCCUGAUUGCAUCGUUCUCACUAGUACUCGCCUACUGCCUGUAUCAGGUAUCUUUUUUUCAGAGUUUCACUUCAGGAGGCUGGAAAUGACGUUAUGAUUGACAAAUCUAUGCCUCAAGAGUCAAUUUACAGUGUCAGAUUCUUCAUUUUGCAUCAGGUUUUCCAGCCUUGGAUUCAGAAGAGGAAGCUUGCAUACGCAAAGCACAAGCAUGUGAUCUCUGGGAUCCUAAAGCAUGCCCAAAUGCAAGCACUGGGCAGGCUGCUUAACGAUGACGGCACACCUAAUGAAAACGUUAUAAGAAAGUAUGUUUCUUAAAACAUCUUAUUGGCCUUGAUAUGCAAAUAAAACAACACUCAUGAGCAUGACAUGAACUUUGUCUAUGCUCACACACAGGUUGUUCUACAAGAUUGACAUGGAUGAGAGCCAUAACCUGUCACGAUCUGAGCUACAUGCGCUUAUUAUUGGGAUCAAUUUUGAGGAGAUUGACUUUGACAAGGAUGACGCAGUCGACAAGAUCAUGGAUGACUUUGAUACUUCAGGCAAUGACACGGUUGAGGAGGCUGAGUUUAUCGCGGGAAUGAAGAAAUGGCUUAACGAGGCCAAGCGCAAUGUACCUGCUAGUGGUGCCUUCUCCAAUAAGUUUGUCAAUGACUACCAUGCUGUAAGUUAUUUACUUUCGAUCCUUUUGAAGAGAGGAUAUGACUUACACUAGGGAAACACAAACUAAUACAGAUAGGAUAUAACUUGAUGAAUUAUCUGAAUUCUGCAGAGAACAAGGGAAGAGCAUGACCAGUUGGUGGACAGAUCAGACGAGGCAGUGGAGAGUGUUGAGAACCCUGGUUGGUGCAUUGCCAAAGCUGUGGGGUUCCUGCUUCUCGGUGGUGUCAUCUGUGCUGCUUUUGCAGACCCACUCGUUGAUGCUGUCCACAACUUCUCUAACGCUACGCACAUCCCGUCUUUCUUUAUCUCAUUUAUCGCCCUCCCACUGGCAACGAAUUCCAGUGAGGCCGUCUCCGCCAUCAUCUUCGCCAGCAGGAAGAAACAAAGGACCUGCUCCCUCACUUUUUCAGAGGUUCGUCACUGCAAGCCCCAGUGGAACUUCUUAGCUUCUAAACCGCCCGUAUCUCUGCUCUGAACUUUUUUUUUCAAAAGGGAUCGCCCGGCCUAUCUCUGCUCUGAACUUAACAUCAAUGAAUUCGUUUGCAGGUAUACGGAGGUGUGACCAUGAACAACACACUAUGCUUGGGUGUGUUCUUGGCGCUCAUCUACUUCAGGAACCUGACAUGGGACUUCUCGUCGGAGGUACUCAUUAUUUUGCUCGUUUGUGUCAUCAUGGGCCUCUUCACGAGCUUCCGGACCAAUUUCCCGCUCUGGACUUGCCUAGUGGCAUACCUGCUGUACCCUCUGUCACUCGCUGUCGUCUACGUCCUCGACUACGUCUUCGGUUGGUCAUAGGUUCAUGCUUCCGGACUCCCGAUUUUGGUGGUCACUCGUGUUUGAGUUCAAUCUUCUCGUAAUUUUUGACUGCUUUGUAAUUUAUCUGUCUAGACAUUGAGAUGUUUAUGUUUGUGUAGCCACGGUGUGCAUUGUGUAUCUUUGACUCUUUGUAUCUAUUUCAAGGUCGCACAUGGGUGUAGCAGUUAUCUUUGUUAUGUUUUCAUACGGAUGAUGUUCAGCAGAAAUGAACAUAAUACGGAGACAACUGAGCUUAACAUAUUUAUCGUUUUGUUAAUCUGGAAUUCCCCAUCAUAUAUAAUCUGGACUUUGCUCUUAUAAAUAUUAUGGAGUUGUAAUUUUACAUUCCUUACAUCCAAAGACACCUUGGCAUUUGUUCGCAAGCCCUUUGUCAUGUGUGUCUGCAGAAAUUCAGUGUGCCGCUUGCUGGAUGUGCAUAGGAGAGACCCCACAGACUAGCUGUGAUGUCUAUCCUGCACAUGCUCUCCUUUCCUUAUUGAAGCCCCUGCCGGUUCAGUACCAUACUACCAUAUCAUCUACCCGUCUGACACUUUCUUUGUUGAGUUUCUCCUACAUUUGGCACAAGCUUACCUGGAACAUACAUAAAGAGCUUCUUGUUUCCAUCAUGCACACUGCUUCACUUUGUCAGGAACAAACAAAGUGGCUCAGUAAAUCAACCAUCACCAGAAGAUUAUUGGCAGUGAAAACAUCUUCUAAAAAGCAGCUAUUGAUACAUCUGAUCUUACUACCUGAACACAUCUCUCUACAUUUUUACCCCACAGCUGGCUGUUGUUCAAUUGCAGAUUUGCUCUCAAUGUUUAUCAGAAGGCAACGACAGUUAAGAGUCAUCAAGUGAUCAUUCAGCCCUUCCAUAGCUUCAGCUCCAAGUCGACUCCGCCUUCAGACAUGUCGGUCUUGCACUCGCUCGGGGCUCUCUCGAGGCGCACCGGACCGACCGGCAGGAAGCUGUAGAACGGCUGUGACGACGACGAUGCAGCCGAAGUGCUCCCCUGCUGAUCAAAACUUUCAUCGGUUAACCACCAGAUUUUUCAGAGCCAGAGUUCACACAUUUUACAGGGUUCAGAAGAUACAGCAGCGAAUGGCAUUUCACUUGCCUGAGAUGGCAUGACACUGGUACUGGCACUGAAGCCGUUGUACUCCGGGAUGUGCAUUGAUGGCACCACGUGGGGCUGCUUGAUAAGGUGUGGAGGCUGCGAGCUCAAGGUGAGCAAGGCAGGGUCUCUGCCACGGCCGGUCUCCUUGCUGCUGCUGCUCUUGGAGUGAGCGAAUUCAGAUGAUGUCCAGUCUGAAUAACUCCCAUAUGCACUUGCACUGUUAUGCAGAAUUGAUGAAGGUCAGUGAUCAGAUUAUACCCGAAAGAUUCUAGGAUGAUAUCGGGGAAGUUCAGAAAAAAGUAUAAUCUACUUUUCUUCAGGGUAAAUAUGGUAAACAUAGAUUAUGCAUUUGUUUCUUAGCCUUUCUUGGUACUGUGAUGUUUGGUCAGAUAAAACUCAUGCUGAAGAAAAGCAGAGGAAACAUGGUAAAAUCUCAACAGAAAAACGAAGUUGUAAGUUUUUGUGGUGCUGAGGUAAAGGAGGUGAAUAAAUGUGACAUGAUUUUCACCAUUUUUUCCUACUACCUAAAUCAACUAGUAACUGCUGGACACAAGUCACACAAGAACAGAGACCAUUAUGAAAAUUAUAAUGCAUUAAAUUACUUGUCCAGAAAAUGAAGGGAAAACAGAGCCAAUAAUCAGUUCAUCAGUGGUCUGGCUUGAACCAAAACUUACGAAUUUUGUAACUGAUCAAUUGAAAAUUGAAACAAGUGAACCGAUUAAAACUGCAAUCUACCUGAACAAAUUAGUUGCUCUGAACUCGAAUCUGCCCAGGUCAGGAAUAACAUCGGCCAACCCAGAAUCGGUCGCCGUCCUGACGGCGGUGAAAGGCGGCGCCGGAUGGGGAGGAAGAAAGGCUUUGCUGGCCGUCCUGAAGGCCGUCAUCCCCUCGAACAUGAUGGGCCAGGAUCUAUCCCCGCCGGCCGUCUCCUACACUCUACCCAAAUCCACAUUUAGCGACCAUCCAAUCCACCGAUCACAAGCCGGGCAGCGUGAGAGUGAGACUGACAUACAUACCCUCUCCUCCUCGGCCGCCGCCGUCGCCGUGCCGCUCCGGCUGCUGCUGCUGCUGUACAUUUGGUUUGAAGGGGGCUCCAUUGGGUGGCUCGACGGCGCCGUCAGAGACAGGCCCGUGCUCACCUGAUGACCACCAAACGAUUUGCGUAAGUUUGGGCUGGGAUCUCGAGUCAGGCGAGUAAGGGUGACAUUUAGAGGGAAGCUCGUACGUACCAUUGGGAGUGGAGGCUGAGGACAGAGGCUUCUCUUGUACGGGUGCUUGGCGGGAUCCACGGGGCUCCAGAGCACCGGCGGGAAGCCGCCGCCGUCCGCGUGUCCGGGCGGCCUCGAGAGAGCGCUCAGCGGGGGCGCCGGCGGCGGGAGGUGUCCGUUGAGCGCGGCGUGCGAGGAGGGCGUGGCCGGCCCAGCGGCGGCCAUCUUCUUCUGCUCCUCGAUGCGGAGCUUCUCGAGCUGGGCCACGCCGAGCCCGCGCUGCGGGAUCUUCUUGGGCUUGUUCUUCCUCGACGCCCGCGCCACGCCCGUGGCAGUGCUGCCCGCGACGCCGCCGCCGCCGUACUUGGCCAGCUGCUGCUGCAGGUGGUGCUGGUUGUUGCCGUGCUCCUGCACCAUCGUCCCUUCGCGCCCGCCCAAAAAAUCAAAUCAACCCAGACAUCACGAAACCCAUCAUGAUCCGGACCAGAAGAGAAGAAGAAGAAGAAGACGCGGGCACGAACGCGACCAAGAAGCGAUCGGCGAGGAGGCCGGCGCGCGCGUGGGCAAGGAUCGGAGGAACGACCAGCGGCUGCCUGUGUGAGGGCCUGAGGGGGAUCGAGCUAGGCGCAAUGGGCGGGGUAUAUAUAGGUGAGAAGAGUGUGCGAGCGAGUGGUGAGUGGUGAGUGGCGCCAGGCCCGGGAGACUCGGGAGCGGGAGAUCUAUAGAGAGAGAGAGGAGGGAGGAGAUCGAUGCAUGGGAUGGAUUCUUGUUUUCUUCGGCUAGCUAAUUUGCCGCCCAAAUCCUCGCUCCACUUAGCUCCCCUAUUCUCUCUCGACACUGGAAAUGACACGACGACACACAAGCCCCGCGGCGCUCUCCGAGGUUGCAGGAGAAAUUCAAGGAGCCGCAAUACUCGGAGCAACUAGUACAUUUGAACGGCUUGCGGCCACAUAAGCAUGCGCGAUCAUGGGACUGAUCGAGUUUCCGUUAGGAACUGCUUGCGUUGCCCGUUAAAGGUUAACCUUUGUCAACUGCUUAUAAUGAGUUUUAAUGACUAAUUUUGCAUGUGCUUUACAUCAAAAACUUAAUGCCAAUCCUUUGCAUUCUUUUUAAUUACUCGCUUUUUUUUAGCAAUCUACCAUUAGCAAGGAUUAAUCAUAUUAGUACUUCGUGUCAGAUCUGAAUAAACUUCAAAACUCCUUUUUCUUUUUAUCACCCUACACAUUCGAGGCCGAGUAAGGAUAAGGGUAAUGACACCUUGAAAAUGCAUCUGUGCUUUUGAAAGUUUAAGGAUGUACUCACUCCGGCCGGAAUUACUUGAUUUGCGAUCUGCGAUAAGUAAUUCCGGCCGGAGUGAGUAUUCUCUUUUUAGAUUAUACUAAUAGUAGCCAAAGAUGCACAAAUUAUUGUUUUUCCUUUGUGGGUAGGAUCUUCAUGGAAAUUCGGUAGAUACUUAGGUAGCUUCAAGGUUCGGUGUCUAUGGGACAUGUGCUUGGUGCAAUUCGGAAUUGAUUUGAAAGUGUCCCUAUAGGAUAUGUCCUAGAUACCAUCUCUUUAUGCCUCCAAGAUUGAGUCAAAUGCAGGUUACUCUGUUCCUUAGCUUUCCAAUGGGUAUUUACAUGUACAAAUCUAAGUUUGGAUGCAUGUUGUGGAUCCUCGUUAUGGUAACUGAUCUAGCCCAAUAAACGUACCAGGAGGGAAAAAUCGGCCACUCUUGCACGUUCUUGGAAAAAUCUUCAUGUGAGCACACGCUUGACUCCUUCUGUUGUGGCCGAUUCUCCUUUAAUCCUCUGCCUAUGUGUUCCGUGCGGCUGCAUGCCAACUCCUAUUGUGUCUCUCCCAUGGCUCAUCCUAUUCCACGGUCCAGAUGGAGGUCUCAGAGCUUUGUUACUAUAGAAUAUAGAUGACAUCACAAAAGCUCAAGCAAAGCUCGAAAUUGGGCUUCUUCGCGCGCCAAAAUUGGGAUGUAUUUGUGUGUGUGUGUGGGGGGGGGGGGGGGGCUCAAAUGCGUUUGACUAGAAGAUUAGUCAAUAUGCGAUCUUUAUGUUGCGAAGGUUGUUUCGACAUGCUGCAAGCGCAUAGUUUAUGAUGCGGAUGCAUGACCGUGAUGUUGCAAUCACUAUUUUAUUGCAAUAGUUUGAAAAAUAUGCCUCAAAUGUGUUUUAUGGUGCAACGCCCUCCAGCAACCGCCAGGUGGAGUAACUGCCAACUCCUCGUGAAUACUGAGAAAAUUUCAGACAUGUUUUCUCUGGAAGCACUUCUGGAGAAUCGUAUUUUCUAUAAACACCGAGGAACCAAACCGAUCAGUUCGGUUUAACCGAAUGCCCAAGCCUAAUCCCCAUUUCCACCUCCCUCCCGCUCCCACUCUCUCGAAAAAAAUGUGAACACGUUAUGCAGAGAGAUGGUUGAAAACAGAAACACAUCGAAUCUGGUCCCGCGUUGCGCCUGACAAGGUUUUCCAAACAGAGAGCACAAUCAUGGACCCAGAUCGGUCUCGGGCGACCGACCUCGGCCCCCCACGGGAACCCCAAGACAAACAAACGGCAGCUCAUCCCGCGGCCCGGAUGGGAGGCCGUGUUUUCACAGUUAGUUCUCCAACUCCCCUCACACGGUACCUCCCUCUGUUCGAUCUCCUCUGAUUUGGACGCGAUCUCGUCCUGAUCUCGCGGCGCUUUCAGGCUGCUCGUUUCGGGGCACCCGGCUCCGGAUCGGCAACGGGCUCGCCUCCUUUCUGCCCCCUCUUUCGGGUCGUCCCUCCCAACCACCUCGCCAGACACGCUAGGCUACUAGGGAUCAUAUGCAAAUGCAAAUGCCGUGUCCACUUCGCAGGCCAGGAUCCUCCUCGGAUUCACCCCCAGUUUGUUUCACCGCGUGAGCUAGCUAGCUAUAGCUCUAUGGCUAAAGCUAGCAGGCGCGCGUGAUGUGAGCGACCUAACCUCAUCAGUCAGGCAGCUCUGCAAAUUGCAGAGGCCGCCGCGAGCAUGUGGAAAUCGAUCGAUUCGUCCGUGACGAUGCAUGCAUCUGCACAGGAUUGUGGCCGAUUACGAUUAGGUCGCUGUCGCCCCUGUACCCACGGGAAAAAUACGGGGUAUCAGUCGAGAAUCAUGUCGGUUUAUUAACGGAUAUACGCGCGUAUAUCGGCUAGCUCUGCCAGCAUCACACUCACGUCAACUUCGAGAAAAUUACCCUUCGUGCCACCGCCAACACUAACGCACUGCCCCCCGUUCCGCGCGUUUCUCCUCCAAACGAAAAAAAACAAAAAAAAGCUCGCCGCAGAUCCAAUCUCUCUUCCUCACCGAGGCGCCAUCGGCGGCGGCCCCCGCUCGCCCGCCGGCUCCUCCCCUGUGUGCGCCGCCGCCCCUCCUUCCUCUGCUCGCGCCCCCACCCUCCUCUUCAACGAGCCUCCGCCUCCGCUCUUAUCCUCACCGAGCCGCCGCAACCGGCGGCCUCCGCCCGCCGCCUCCUCCCCUGUGUACGCCGCAGCUCCUCUUCCCUCUCCUCGCGCCCCCGCCUCCUCCUCAUCGAGCCGCUGCAGCCGCCGGCCUCCGCCCCUGCCUCGAGGGAGGUCGACCUGUCAGCUUUUACCCUUCGCUGCCACCAAGGGCCACCUCGCCGCCGCCUCCCUUGCACACCGCCGCCACGCGCCGCUCCCGUCCACAGCCCCUGGAAACACCGCCACACGGUCUCCUAGGGUUUGCGCCUCCGCUGCCGCCCUGGCCCGUCUCGCGCUGGCCCUCCAUCCCGCCUCCCGCAGCCCCACGGCCGAGCCCCUCCCAACCCGCCGCUCGCCCCCAAGUGAAGGCCGCCGCCGCCACCGCGGUCCGAUCUUUCCCCGUCGUCAUCGCCCCUCCUCCACCCGUGUCUCCGGCCCUGCGCAUCGCCCAGAGGUUUCCCGCUCUCAACUGAGGAGUUCGCCGCUGACGGCCUCCACAAGUACCUGAUAGUCAUCCUGUCAACUUGUGCCUUUGGAGGUAUUUUCUGGGUCUUUUCAUGCAUUCAACGGCUAUGGUCUCAUGAAACCAACUAGGUUAUACGGAGUAUUAGAUAAUAUACAUCUGGAAGGUUGGACUGGUAUGCAUUGUGCAUUAGGAAAUUUGCACACAUAUUAUGAGCUUAAUUUAUACGGGUUCUAUUUUUGAUGAGGAAAUUUGGACAGAUAUUAUGAGCUUAAUUUAUACAUCUGGAAGGUUGAAAUAUGUACUCCCUCCGUCCCAUAUUAAGUGACUCAAAUUUGUCCAAAUACGAAUGUAUCUAUGCCUGAAAUGAGUAUAAAUACAUGUAAUAGAAAGUCACUUUCUUUCCCCUCAUUUAGCAGGUUGUAGUGGUUGAUACAUGCGCAUAUAAAUUGUAUGUACAUAGUUAAAUUGGAAUCUAUGGAAAACAGAACACCAUUGUUGGUCCGACUCUGUAGCAGCUCAUGUAGAUAGUAUAUAUGCUUAUUCUGUGUACCACUGUAAAUUGAUGUUAGCUCUGUGUGGUCAUUUCAUUUUAAGACUUGUACAUCAUCAGAUUCACUUGCAGUGUCAUUUCUUUUUGUAAGCAGAUGGGAAUACUAAUUCAGUGUAUUGAGAUCUAUAUUUUUUUUUGACAUGUAUUUUAUUCUCCAGAUUUACAUACUGGAACCUAGCCCUGUGCUUGCUCCCUCAUAUCAGAUGAACUUUUUUCUAUCAAUUUUCAUCUUUUUACCUUGCAGUACGUCACCCUCUUUUUCCCUUUGCAUCAUUUUGAGAUCAAUCUCUCAAACUCAUGAAUAAAUGUUGUUCUUUUUUCAGAUUGGAAAAGGGACCGGAAAAAAGGUUAUUCAUGAGGUCCUUAUCUCUGUGUUAGUUUUUUCUUAUGAAUUAUGCAAAUGAGAAUUUUUCUCUGAAAUGAAUGCACAUUUCUCUCCUUGCCUAAGAGGAAGGUUUUCAUCAGUGCAUGUAUACAUAAUUAUUUCAUUUCUUUAAGCAUGUACUGCUGCAUUAUCAUUGUAUGACAAAUGAUGUCAUGAACGCGACAAGCUAAUACUAAUACAUGUAUACUGUGUCACAGGUAUGCUUUGGAACAAAAUAUCCUGUGGAAACCAAGUGGAGGAAUAUGGAAGUGGAGUGAUUGACAUCUUGAGGAUGGAAAAUUGGUAUCUUAAGUGUAGGAGAAAAUCUGUAUGUGUUUUGAAGAGAAAACAUCCAUUCAUGAUAGCUUGUCCAAUCUAGGCAUUUUAGGGGCAGCUCGAGUAGAUAUUUUAAUGAAGUAAGCUUGACUGCUUGAUCGUUAUUGUGUUACUUGAUGCUUGGUUCAGAAAAAAAAAUAGGAUUUCGAUUGGUGAGAUAAGGAGCUUCAGUUUGCAACUUCCAGGGAAAGGACGAUGUUGAGGUGCUGGCACAAAUUGCUUACUGCCAACGAUGAGAUCCGGACGGUGGCGGCGGGAUAAGGAGAUGGCAGCGGCAUCGGGAUCCAAGUGUUCUGCGGCACCACCAUCUCCUGGGCGUCUCCAUGGCGCGGCUGCUCACCGUGUCGGUGCUGCUCCGCCACCUUGACCUCAAUGCCGUCUGGCAUGGCGCACGCUGUCGGAAGCCCUCCGCACCCUUCAGUUUCUUUGAGGUAUGGAACAAGAGUGACAUUUGUGCUCAACAUGUGCUUGUGUUAAUGCCUACAAGAAACUAAUUUUUCGAGGUACUUCCAUUUGGUACAGAGAAUGAAUCUAGGCAUUUGGUCUUCCUUUAAUUUUUGUCAUGCUUGGAUUCUUGAAGCUCCUGAUGAAGCAGAGGUUUCUUGCCUUUGAAAAUUUUCAGGUCAGCUUAUUGUGUACAUGAUCUACCUUUAUGUUUGGUUGAUCGAGUUGCUAACUUACAAACAUGUUGGUCUAAUGGGUUUUAACUAUCUUUAACAACUCAUUUCCUUUUUCGCCUUUAGUUGGUAUAAUAGCAAUAUAUAGUUGCUUAAAUACUGCAUUACUGCAGAAGAGCAUUGACAUUGUAUAAACUAUGUUAGUAGGUUUCAGCUUCAUAUUAUAGAGGAAAAGCAGGCUGUUAGAGCAUGCAAAGAGUAUAUAUAGUUUCUUGAUUUUUCCCUUGAUUCUAAACGUCUAAAGGACAUCAUAACAACAGAUCCUUAACUAAGCUACCAAGUUCAUCUCUCAAUUUUUUUCCCUAAUUACCUUCUUUACAGAUGGCCACAUCUGACCCUAAAAGUGAAUUGUGUAAUACUGAAUUGUGUUACUUACUCCUUGUGCUGCUACAGCAUGUUCCUAAAACAAAUGGAGAUAUUCCUUCUCUUGAUGAAGCCUUUUCAGAUCAUCAAAGACACCUUUACAUGUAAAUAACCCAGUAGUACAUUUGUUUGGUCGCCAAGCCAUAGUAAAUUAGGAUUCUCAAAACUAUGAUUAAGACAACCUGAAGCUUAUGGCAGGGGCGGAUGUGAUGCAAUUUUGAUAAUGCCCUGUAGUACCCUGUAGCCAUAGUAAAUUAGUAAAUCCGGAUUCUCAAAACUAUGAUAAAUAACCCUGUAGUACAUUUUUUUUGUUAAUGCUUGAUUUUCUCUCUCGAAAAUGUGAUGCAAUUUUGGGUGUCCUUUUUCUCGGUUGGUUGCAGGGGAGGAUGAAGCUAUUGUGGUUGUUUAUAUGCUAUUGCAGUUGAUGAAGUUAUAAUCCUCCACGAUCUUCAGAACUAAAAGGAAGUAUGUGAGAAAAGGAAGAGUCAUGGCAACACAUUGUCUUAAUUAUGUUUGUCUUCCCGUUGCAACGCUAUCCAUGCGUC
RNAcentral lists this long non-coding RNA (43074 nucleotides) under Brachypodium distachyon (stiff brome). Its description in RNAcentral is "long non-coding RNA (BDIS_LNC001638)". The record is from RNAcentral. Lineage: Eukaryota; Viridiplantae; Streptophyta; Magnoliopsida; Poales; Poaceae.